UGCAGUCGACGGAAACGAUGGGAGCUUGCUCCCAGGCGUCGAGUGGCGGACGGGUGCGUAACGCGUAGGAAUCUACCCAGUAGUUGGGGACAACACGAAGAAAUUCGUGCUAAUACCGAAUACGGUCUACGGACUAAAGGGGGCCUCUUCUUGAAAGCUCUCGCUAUUGGAUGAGCCUGCGUCAGAUUAGCUUGUUGGUGGGGUAAUGGCCUACCAAGGCGACGAUCUGUAGCUGGUCUGAGAGGAUGAUCAGCCACACUGGGACUGAGACACGGCCCAGACUCCUACGGGAGGCAGCAGUGGGGAAUAUUGGACAAUGGGGGCAACCCUGAUCCAGCAAUGCCGCGUGUGUGAAGAAGGCCUGAGGGUUGUAAAGCACUUUCAGUAGGGAGGAAAUCAUCAAGGCUAAUACCCUUGUAAAUGACGUUACCUACAGAAGAAGCACCGGCUAACUCCGUGCCAG
RNAcentral lists this ribosomal RNA (463 nucleotides) under uncultured Gammaproteobacteria bacterium. RNAcentral's name for it is "bacterial SSU rRNA". It matches the Rfam family "Bacterial small subunit ribosomal RNA", at positions 56 to 511 of the family's 1533-position model. Lineage: Bacteria; Pseudomonadati; Pseudomonadota; Gammaproteobacteria. The record is from RNAcentral.